GUAUUAGGACUGUAGGCAAAUCCGCAGACCUAGCUGAAACCUAAUAGUACCGCGAGUCUUCGGAUGAGUGGAUAGAGCAGGUAAGCAGACUUCCAAGAAAAACCGCUAAGCUUCAGGUUAUAAAAACCCGUACCGCAAACCGACACAGGUAUCCGGGAAGAGAAUUCUAAGGUGCUCGAGUGAAUCAUGGCUAAGGAACUCGGCAAAAUGGCCCUGUAACUUCGGGAGAAGGGGCGCUGGCAGUAAUGUCAGCCGCAGUGAAAAGGCCCAGGCGACUGUUUAACAAAAACACAUGGCUUUGCAAAAUCGAAAGAUGAAGUAUAAGGCCUGACACCUGCCCGGUGCUGGAAGGUUAAGAGGGGAUGUCAUCCGCAAGGAGAAGCAUUGAAUCGAAGCCCCAGUAAACGGCGGCCGUAACAAUAACGGUCCUAAGGUAGCGAAAUUCCUUGUCGGGUAAGUUCCGACCUGCACGAAUGGUGUAACGAUCUGGGCGCUGUCUCAGCCAUGAGCUCGGUGAAAUUGUGGUCCCGGUGAAGACGCCGGGUACCCGCAACGGGACGGAAAGACCCCAUGCACCUUCACUACAAUUUAACAUUGACAUUGGAUACAGGAUGUGUAGGAUAGGUGGGAGGCUUUGAAGCGGCGUCGCUAGGCGUCGUGGAGCCAACGUUGAAAUACCACCCUUUCUGUAUUCGGUGUCUAAUCCCUCUACGAGGGAGACAUUGUUUGAUGGGUAGUUUGACUGGGGUGGUCGCCUCCAAAAAGGUAACGGAGGCUUUCAAAGGUAAGCUCAAUACGCUUGGUAACCGUAUGAGGAGUGCAAUAGCAUAAGCUUGCUUGACUGUGAGACAGACAAGUCGAUCAGGGUCGAAAGACGGAUAUAGUGAUCCGGUGGUUCUGCAUGGAAGGGCCAUCGCUCAAAGGAUAAAAGGUACGCUGGGAUAACAGGCUGAUCUCCCCCAAGAGCUCAUAUCGACGGGGAGGUUUGGCACCUCGAUGUCGGCUCGUCACAUCCUGGGGCUGGAGAAGGUCCCAAGGGUUCGGCUGUUCGCCGAUUAAAGUGGCACGCGAGCUGGGUUCAGAACGUCGCGAGACAGUUCGGUCCCUAUCUGUUGUGGGCGUAGGAAUUUUGAGUGGGGCUGACCUUAGUACGAGAGGACCGGGUUGGACUAGCCUCUAGUGAAUCUGUUGUUCCGCCAGGGGCAUUGCAGAGUAGCUACGCUGGGAAUAGAUAAGCGCUGAAAGCAUCUAAGUGCGAAACUAGCCACGAGAUGAGAAUUCCAUAUAGGACCGUAGAAGACUACUACGUUGAUAGGUUACAGAUGUAAAGCUGGUGACAGCAUAGUCGAGUAAUACUAAUCAUCCA
Molecule: ribosomal RNA, 1366 nt
Filed under: metagenome
Description: bacterial LSU rRNA
Rfam family: Bacterial large subunit ribosomal RNA
Source: RNAcentral